UCAUGAUACUUAACGAAUCGCAUGGCCUUGCGCGGGGAUGGUUCAUUCAAAUUCUGCCCUAUCAACUUUCGAUGGUAGGAUAGUGGCCUACCAUGGUAUCAACGGGUAACGGGGAAUUAGGGUCUAUUCCGGAGAGGGAGCCUGAGAAACGGUACCACAUCCAAGGAAGGCAGCAGGCGCGCAAAUUACCCAAUCCCGACACGGGGAGGUAGUGACAAUAAAUAUUGAUACAGGGUUCCUUUUUGGGUCUUGUAAUUGGAAUGAGUACAAUUUAAAUCCCUUAAGAGGAAAAUUGGAGGGCAAGUCUGGUGCCAGCAGCCGGGGUAAUUUCCAGCUCCAAUAGCGUAUAUUAAAGUUUGUUGCAGUUAAAAAGCUCGUAAGUUGAA
This 386-nucleotide ribosomal RNA is filed under the name uncultured fungus. RNAcentral describes it as "SSU rRNA". It matches the Rfam family "Eukaryotic small subunit ribosomal RNA", at positions 251 to 639 of the family's 1831-position model. Lineage: Eukaryota; Fungi. The record is from RNAcentral.